UGGAUGAGCAGAGUCGACAUUGAGAGCUGGACUCCCGCGGGUAAGGUCAGCUUCCCCAGUUUAGUUUCCUUGGGAACCUUCCGUGCCAUAACGAUUGCCGGUGGGUAGAGCCUUAGCACCUCAUUCAAAAUCAUCGUGACCUGAUCAUGAAAAAUUCGUAAAAGUUGUCAUAUGGUACGAAAGUGUAGUCAGGAGCAUCUACGUGAUUAUGAUGCCCGAGAGAGAUUACAACAAUGAAAUCAAGGAAAGGUCCUCUGCAUCUAACAUCAAUUUUCACGAAGAGAAUGGAUAAUAUUGUAAUUUACGUACAAAGGUUAUAGGCUCUUGUUAAACUUACAAUCUUGAGGUGGCUCAAUCCGUCAAAGUCAGGUUUUCUGCUUCCAAAGGUUUGGAGGACCUCCUCCCUAGCUCGGGCUUGCCAAUCUGGGUGCACGCUUAACAAGACCAUGGUCCAUACUAGCAAAACCGAAGUGGUCUCUUGUCCGGCGAAGUAGAAAAGCUUGCACUCCUCAAUCACAUCGUGAAGGCUCAUCCCGACAUCCUCCUUCAUGUUUGACUCCAGCAACAGUCCCAGCAGAUCAUCGCCAGCAGCGUCACCUGCCCUUAUUGCUUUCACUCUUCUGCGGAUGAUGUCCAUGAGCACAGCCUGCACUUCCUUAUUUAUGUUCUUCAUCCUUCUGUUCAUCUUAGUGGGCACAAACCUGAGAAAUAUUGAAUAGUUGGAUUUUUUGUAAUGUCAUGAUCUUAAGCCAGAAGCUCAUUUAGAUUCAACUAUCUCAUGGAUGAUGAGAGAUUUACCUCCAGCCGGGAAUGUAGACCGAUUGAAGGGCUUUAAUAGCGAGCAAGGCUUGUUCCUCUUGAAGUUCAAAGAUCCUUUUGCCUUCUUCAAAGCUACUGCCAAAUGCUGUCCGAGAGAUCACGUCACGGGUCAAAUUUUGAAGGUCGACCCAUGCGUCAACCUCACACGAUCUCUCCUCUAAUACUGAUUUCUCCCAUCUGUCGACCAUUUCAGUGCAACUCAAGUAAAAAGCGGGCAACAUAAGCUGCAAGAACAGCCGACCAAUGCAAACAAGGAGUUAAAAGAAAAUUCCUGAGGCAUCAAUGUGUGGGGUUCAAUUUAUAUGAGCACAGUACAGUUUUAGGUACCUUCAACUUCUCCAUGUGGAAUGCUGGAUUGAUAAUCUUUCGGUGCCGAGCCCAUUUCUCGCCCUCAUGGUUCGCGAGUCCAUCAGCGAGCAACUUCACCAGGGGAUUGGAGGCUGGCUUGGGAUAGUCAUAUAUCUUAGAGAAUACCUCCUUUAUUUGUUCCGGGUUCGUAAUGUUCACUCUUGGUGUUGGGCCCAUCCAUGUGAACGAGUCUUUGCCUACAAUGCAUCCAGCAAAAUAGGCGGCACAUUGCCAAAAGAACCAUUCAAAUUACAAUUUCAGCUACUCUCUAGGAAUGCAUGCUCUCGGGUGAUUUAAUGAAUGUCGACAAAAUCUUAUUAAUCUCAUUAACAAAUAGCCUCAUUUGUCAAAAUAGAGCAUUCUACAUUUACCAGUCGUCUGGACUCCAGACAUUGGGCCUUUUUUACUCACGUUUUGAAAAAGAAAAACUCACUUAACCGGCACUUGCAUUUGACUUGGAAAAAUCAAAAAAUAGAUUUUUACACAAACAUAACUUCACUAAUAAUUGUUGCUUUUUUGAGGGCAGUGACCACCACCAUUCCAAUCAUUGGGCACGCGUUACAGUGAUUGAUGGAUUCAUGCCCGUGUCAUUGAAUUGCCAUGGGGUGCAAAAGGGACAGAGACCAGAGGCUUUGAGGCAAGGAGCACAAGCCAUGAUUAGUGGGACAUCAGAAACUCAAGCCACGAAGGCGAGAGCGGGUGGCAGAAAUCCAUCCAGGACUCGUUACUCAUCAUCAUCCACAUGAUUUUGGUCCCACUGAAUUGUGAAUAGCUUGGCAUCUUGUGCUUCUAUGGUUCGAAUAGGGACUUGUCUCUGCCCUAUGACAGUGACUUUUGACUCCCCCAAAACAGGUUACUUAUCUUGAUUGACAUCCAUGAAUCCUUCAAUCUGAAUGACUCUGAUAUUUAGGGUGAUCGGCCAACGAGGGCUUAAGUCACGUCAGUCACAGCAGAACGUCUCUACAUAUCAAUCAUCCAUCGGUGUACACUAAAUAUCUUUUCGAAUGACCGAGGAAAUCAUGGUCAUAAAUGACUUUUAUUUAAUGUAUUCUCUUGGAUUAUAUGGUCUCUGAAUUGUGUGCAUGUCAAAUAAACAAGAAUUUUAAAGACUUCGAGAAUAUUACCAUCUUUGGUAGCCAAAAUUCAAAACGGGAAGCAUGAAUGGCCAAUUAAAAGGGCAGUAGAUCCAAAUGUUUGGAAAACUCAUCAAAGACGGCAUCGACCAAAGGAAGAAAACAAGUGAGCUUUAACGAAGUAGAAGAAAAGAGUGCCACGCACAGAGAUAGUAUGAAGAUGUGCAUACCAUAGGUUUGGAAGGAUUGAUGCAAGAAAGGCAAGAGACGAGGCUUGAUGUCAUCGGAGACGGCGAUGGGCUUGGACUUGGCUUCCUUGAGCAUCCGCAAGUUCUCCUUGAGGUCGCCGACCAGGAAGGUGUAGGACUUGCCGGAGAGACCUUGCUGUCUCAGAAGCCUCUCGAGCCUCUUCGGCCUCAGCCACACCCAGUUCACCGCCCUCCACGCCCAUGUCGUUAGGACGGCCAGAACCGUCGCUAGUGCGAUUGACUGCAUUGAAACCCCCAUCUUUUCUUCUUCUGUGUGCGCGUAUCUACUUGUCUGUAUGUGGGUGGGGUUGGGAAGGGGGGGUGGGGGAGAGAGAGAGAGAGAGAGAGAGAGAGAGAGAGAGUUCAAUGUGUUGAUGGCAUGAUAUUGUUGGGAAAGGUGUCGUGUUUAUAGAGCCAUAGCCCAUUAUAUACGUGGGUGUUGGCCGAGAAGCUUCUUGACCUUGACCCAAGAUGGAUAAAAAAUGAAAGGAAAAGAGAAGGAUUACCCAAAAUAACGAGCAAUGAAAAAAUAUUUGCAGACUUAAAACGGAAGGAUGAGCGUGGCAUAUGUAUUAAAUGAAAUAUAAAUGAUCGAAAAUGGUAUUUCUCAUUUAAAUAACAUCAUAUAUAUUAUUUUGGUAAGGAAAUAACAUCAUAUUUUGCAGUUCAUAAAAACGAUCAAAUCUCUUUUUUGCUCGUAGGACGUGUUUUGGAGAAAGGGAGGCAUGGAAUUCAUUUUCUGCCCAUGUUGUAAUGAAAUUUGAAAUAGGUGUAGCUUCUAUAUAAUUUGGCAAUAGUGUGUAAUUAUCAGCAGUCUAUCAUCUCCUAACAUUCAUAUGACAUUAACUCGAGCGGCUGUAGAUAAAGCGAGAGGUUUUCCCCUCAGUUGUUUUCCUGCUUUUGUUCGCUAAUUGGGUGGAUCUUUGGCUCGUUCUGGGGACAAAGGCGGCAUAAAGUCAUCGUUGUUUUGAUUAGACAAAGACAGGACGAGGAACUACCAUAAACGAUUUUACGUGCUUUUUCCUUGUUCACACGUUGUAUACGUUCAUCGUUGUUUUGAUCAGAUAAAGACAGGACGAGGAACUAUCAUAUAUGAUUUUACGUGUUUUUUCCUUGUUCACACGUUAUAUACGCGGGUUUGCUUUGGCUUUGCAAGAGCAUAGAGAAGAGCUUUUCUUUAAGUGUUUUUUUAUCAUGAUAUUUACUGACAUUUUUUAUUAAUGUCUUCAAUUUUUUGGAAUUAGGUAAAUCUAUACCUUAUGUUCUAAGAAAUACUCAUUCCAUUACCAUUUUAAGGCUGGUUGAUGUUUCUCUUGUGUGCAAAAGUAGAGUAGGGAGACGAUUUUGUUUUCAAUUAUAAUUCCGAAGUUAUUACAUUGGAUCAAAUGACCAGGCAAGGUGGGAUUCCUUCCAGAAGUUCAUGUAAUUUGCUGGUUCUUCCCGGACGACUCAUCCUCAUCAAUUUCAAGAUUACUUUUGAAAUCGUCAAAUUGCCUUUCUCAUGUUACAUCUCCGCAAACGGCCUCCGACGAGGAAUGUGUUUGUAUUGGAUAUGUCCUUAAUCGUGUGUAAAAUGAAACUGAUCAAAGUUGUCGAGUGCCCAUAUGGCUUUUCAAGUUUAUUUAUAUAUUUAUUUUUCAAAGAAUUAAUUAAUAAAUGGUGAAAAAGUCAGUGCAUCGUUGAAGUUCGUCGGCGACGAAGACGAUCUCAGUUGAGGUUGUGACGAUGACGAUGAUGACGAUGACGAUGAGGAUGACGACCCCUGCACAAAAGAACUUGCAAAGGCAACAAAAAGAACUAUGACUUUAUUUGUUUUUUGAAAAAUUAAUUAUUUGAAAAAUAUUUUCUUAAAAAUAAUAAAAUAUUGCUUAAAAAGGUGAAUGUGUAAUUUUUUUUUAUUGUCCACAAAAAAAUUCGAAUAAAAAUUGUUAUCGAUAAUGAAAGAAUUUUUCAUUGAUUAGUUUUUUCAAGCUAUACAAGUUAUCAUUUUUAGUUUUUUAAAUUAUUUAUUUUUCAUGAAACAAAUGAAGCGGGAUAAUGGAAUUGUUUAAAUUUAGCCCUGAGAAAUAUGAAAGAUGGGCUGCCCUACACCCCCAAUCCACGUAUACAAAACCAUUCUUUAUACUAUAAUCUAGAUGUAGAAUUCUUUUCUUAGUCCAAGCUUUUGGAAGAAUCUACGAGAAUCUCGAGUCCAAGUUUCUGUUAUAUUGAUUUUCUUCUUUAUUUUUCCCUUCUUACGUGUGCCGGGUGCUAAUUUCAUGCCAAGUAAUUGAAGGUCAAAGGCCAUGUACAAGAGAUCGAGAGCGUGACCUCCAAGCAAAUUAAUGUCCUCUAUCCCAAGUAAGCAUAUAUAAUAUCUACUGCAAAGCGAACUAAAAGGAAAUCUUCUUUCCUUUUUCGGGGAUUUAGAUCUAUUUUUCGUAGCCAGCCUUACCAAAAGUAUGAGCCUGUCUAACAAUUGGCCAGAAGCAAUUACCUGUGGUGUGACUUGUAAUUAAGGAUGGUUGUUGAAAACUCGAAGCACCUACCAUUGGUAUAAUAAAUUUAUGAACUCCCCGUCACCAAAGUUGACAAUCUUUUCUCCAUGAAUGUUCAAUCAAAUGUUAGAGUGCUUAAAUGAACACACUAAGUUAAAUAGCCACUUAGUGGUUGCGGUGCAAUUUCAUAAAUCCAUUUAGUAUAUGAAUUUUGGUAUCUCUAACAUUACUUGUUCCAAGAAAAUGGUCAAAAUCUGGGUGACCAUGCCAAAUGACUAGUCAUAUUGAGGAUUUUUUUACCUCCCAAGAGAGUCGAGAAGUGCAACCAACGUAGCUAUGUCCUCUAGACAUUAUCAUGGGAUCUGGUUCUUAUUAAAAAUUUAUGGGUUGAAGAUUAUGAAGAGAUCAUCACUCAACACCACUAACGACUUAUUGAUUUAGGUAGGCAAGUACUUUUACCAAACUCCACUGAGGUACAAGUGGUCUUGAACCUAUAUGUACAAAGCAUGAUGCACAACAUACUAAUAAGCAUUUUUUAACCUGCGAUAUCGCUUUUGUGCAACAUUAGCUCAUGCCAUUAAGCCAUCACCACCGACCGAUAGUGACAUCCCUCAUCAAGUUAUCGCAAAUAUGAUUUGUGAAAUUGGAAAAAAAGAAAAGAAAAGAAGAAGAAGGUAAAUUGCCGUUUAUUUCUUAUGUAAUAUAUGAAUUUGUUAGAGUUUGUUAGUUGAAAAUUCUUAAAAGUCGAAUAAUUGUUCUUACUUUUCUGUCAAAGAUUAUUAUCUAAAGUUUAAGGUAUUAUGGAAGAAUUAAAUGUGAACUUACACAUCAACAUAAAAUUAAUGUCAAACGUUUCAAACAUUUUGCGUUAUAUGAAGUCAAAAAUUGUAUGCACUAGGAUUAGAAAAAGACAGAGUAAAAGUCAAUCUAAAUAAACUCUUCGACUUCACUCAAUAUGAAUGUCUAUAAAUUCUAAAUUUCUCUUUAUUGUAAAUUUUUUGUUCCAUUUUGUUCAUGAGUGCUCAACUUCUCACAGGAGAAAAUACAAAAAAAUAAAAUAAAAUCAUAAGCCAAUUGUAUUGAUACCAAUUCAGUCCAAAAACUUCACAUUGGUACUAAUUUAGUUUAUCAACAAAUUUUGAUUGGAAAUUACUGACGUGGACAUUGACUAUCCUACAUGGCAUGAUAGGUGCUUAUGCUACCAUUUUUUAAAUAAUUUUUUAAAUAAUUUUUAUUUUAUUUUCUUUAUUUUCUUUCAUUUCUCUUUUUUUUUUUUUCUUAUUUCCUUCCAUUAGUGGCCAAUCUCCAUGAUGGUUGGCGGAGGUCACUAUUUGUUGGCGAGGGUAACAAUCGUGAUGCCCUCACUGGUCUUAGUUUGAUAGAGGCCAUGGCAUGAGUGAGACACAUCAUACUACACUCCUAUCUCCCUACGUUCUUCACGAUCUCUAAAGUUGCAAAUGCAUUUAUGGCACUCACAAGAGCCUAUCUAAGUUUGAAGGUGUUACCAAUUUCAUCUCAUGUCUUUGGCUCUCUUCUUCCUCCUCCUCCUCUUUGUCAUCAUUGUGUUGACACUUCCUGUGCUACUAUCUGGUACCAGCUAGUGUGUGGAUUUUUUUUUUCUAGUUUAAUUCUACUCUUUUUUUUGGCCCUUUGCCGUAAGAGAAUGGUAAUGAAGAAGUUUGAAAAUGGAGAGCAAGAAGAAGUGUUGGCUAUUGGUGAUGGCAAGGGGCCUCAUCCUCCCACCCCCUUAGGGUGAGGGCUGGGCAAGUGUCCCCUCACAAGCCACAGGCAUAGGUAAUGUUUGCUACCCGUCACAAAGGUUAGCCACUAGCAGAGGGAAAUAUGAAAAAAAAAAAAAAAAGAAGAGAGAGAGAAGAAAAAAUAAGGAAAAUAAAAGAAAAUUAAAUAACAUUUUAAAAAAUUAUAAAAAAGUCUAUGUCAGUGUCAAUUGUACCACAAAAGAUGGUUAUAGUCCACGUCAUAAAUUUCUAACGAAAAUUGGUCGGAUGGAUUCAAUUAGUUUUAAUGUGAAAAUAUUUAACAUUAAAUUGAUACGAUUGAAAAGUUGAGAAUUAAAUUGAUAUCAAUCUAACAUGUUUAGAACUUUUCGGAUGUGAAUAUAUCCUUAAAUUGCUUCAUUUGAACUCUAGAUGUACAAAAUUAAGGGUAUUCCCUCUUAGGUAAGGAAAAAAAAUAUUUUUUUAGGAAUUAAAGGGGGGGAAGGUCGAUUCCACCACACUCAUUUUUUUGGAUGUUUAAGGAAAUAAUAGACUAGUAUAGUAACAACCCGUGUCAGUGAAGGUGGGAAAGGUGAGGGAAAUCCCCACUACAAGGUUGACCUAUGCUACACAGUGUCAAUCUAUUGACUUGUUGACCUUGUAUCCCUAAUUGACUAACAUUGUAUGGGCGACCUUUGCUAGCUAUCAUAGAGGGUGGCCACUAGUGCAGGGAAAUAUGGUAAAAAAAAAGUUGAAAGAAAGAAGAAAAAAAGAAGAAAAAUAAAAAAAUAAUAAUUCUUUUAAAAUAUUAUAAAAAAGUUUAUAUCACCACUGAUUAUGCCACAUAAGACAGUAAGAAUUUAUAUUAAUAAUUUUCAAUUAAAAUUGAUUAGAUGGAUCCAAUUAGUUUUAAUGUGAAAAUGUUUAAUAUUAUAUUAAUAUAAUUGAAAGAUUUAGAUUCGAAUCAAUAUUAAUAUAAUAUGUUUAUAACUUCUUUAUUAUUAUUAUGUUAUUAUUAUUAUUAUUAUUAUUAUUAUUAUUUUUAAUCGAUGUCCUCAAAAACAUUUUUUGAGAUGGGCCAUCAAAUUGAUGUUAGACACAAAAUGCAGUAACAUCAGAUCAGCUCUGCUCUGGCGCGUUACAUAUCCCUUGUGGCGUGCAAGGGACGUCGCAUCGAGCCAAUAUCAAGAACAAGGACAAAUCUCCCCUCAAAGCGUCAUCAUAUUCGUUUAUGCGUUUUCCGAUUAAGACAGUAAUGAGGAAAAAGGAAAAUCGUGCGACACGAAUCUAGGGGAGCGUGCAUGAUGGCAUUUGGGCAAAAGAUUGUCAGCCCCACCAGCAAAAAUGGCAGGCGAAGUUAAAUGGCACUUUGUUAAAAGGGGUUUGACGACAACCUGUUACCUAAUCUUUGACCUCCAGAAGAAUAUCUUUUUGAUUAGGAUUGAAUACUAUUACUUGUUAAGCGGGGAAUUCUAGACUCCUCGACACAUUUAUAAGGCAUAUGACAUUGCCAAAAUACUCCCCUCCCCUAUGAAUGGUGCGCACUUGCACAUCCACAAGGCCAUAAGUUCAUAAUUAAAUUUCACUUAGGUAAUAUGUAAAAGCAAUACCUAGGAGUGCGGAUUGCCCUUUUCUUAUUUCAAGAAAACAUUCAUGUCCCCGUCUUGCUCUAGAACGGAUGGCAUGGAACGGGAGGGAGACAGGAUAAAGGAAUAUGAAUGAUAUGAAAUGGCACAUAUAUUAUGAUUCUUGUAGUUGUACUAAUGAACAAAGUUAGAGAAAAUAUCAUGAUUCCUUUUUGAAAUGGAAAGUAAGGGUUUUUGGUUAAAGUACACUGCAAGUAUUAAAACUUGACACGGGUGGAACUUAAGUAUCAAAAGUUUUAAAAUAUACACUUAAGUGCCAUUUAAAAAAAAAAAUGGGACACUUAAGUACUAAUUCCAACAAGCUUGUUAGAUAUCUAAUGUGACAUUAUUUUAAUAAUAAAAGUGGUCUAUGUCGCUUGCCGGAAUAUUCACUCAAUAAUCAUUGUCUAAAAUGACGUCGUCUUGUAUGUUCACUUAAAUAUCGGUUGUGGUUAAAAAAUGAUUACUUUAUUAUGUAAGUGAUCAUUUAGGCGUCAUUCAUAGUUAAAAGUGAAUACUUAAGUAUCAAGUUUUAUGGAAAGUGAUUACUUAAGUGCCAAAAGUAACGUCAUUUAGCAUACUCUUGUUGUCUACGUGGAUAAUCUUUUUUAAAAGAAUUGUCAUGUCAAUAAAAAAUCUUGUUAAAAAAAGCCACGUCAGCAAUUUAACUAGAAUUUUUGGCCGUUGGCACUUAAGUGUCCAUUUCUUUUUUGAUUUUGACACUUGAGUGUACAUUUUGGAAAUUUUGAUGCUUAAAUAUCCAUCCAUGUCAAGUUUCGGUACUUGAGGUGUCCGGCACUUAAGGGUUUUGAAAUGUCUAAAAUGUCAUUAAAAUGGAUAAUGUUUGAGGAAAAAAAAAGGGUAGCCCGAAAUUGUUGUAUGUGGUAAUUUUUUAAUCUUUUGCCAAUGAAUGGAUUGGAAUUCCGUAAGUGAAGCCAUAAAAUGACCAUUCCCCUUGUUUGAUGGAGGAUGGAGGAUUCCACAUCUUUUGAUAGAAACACACAAAGGAACCGAAAUAUAAUCUAAGAUAACGAUUCUAUUACAGAUCGAUUCCUUUUUUACUAAACAAGGCUUAGUUCGUGCAAUUCAAUCUAGGAUGAUUUGACUGAAACUGAAAAUAGUAGGCAUUUGUCAUCGAUGGAAAAGUAUAAUUAAGUUGAGGCUAAAGAAGCUCACAAUCUUUUAUAUCACAUAAUUUACAGAUUGUACAUGCUUAUAAAGAGAAGAAAAAAUACAAUCUUUUACAGAGCAAGAAUCAUGGAAUACCAACUUAUCUACAGUUGGUAUGCUAAUAUGAAAAUAAAAAAGAUAUCAAAAAGAUUUCAUAUUCAAAAAAUAAUAUCAAAAAAAGAUUUCAUAUCUUAACACGCCCCCGCAAGAUGGAUGUUCCAUCGGAAACGUCCAUCUUGUCUCGUAAUUGUAUCGUCCGCAGCCUUGAUAACGGUUUCGUGAGAAUGUCGGCAAGUUGAUCAUGGGUGGAAAUAUGAGAGACUCGCAUCUUGCCAACUUUAACAAGUUCCCGAACGAAAUGGUAAUCUAUCUCAAUGUGUUUCAUUCGGGAAUGGAAGACGGGAUUUGCACAAACAUAAGUAGCACCUAUGUUGUCGCAAUACAAGCUUGGUGCCGUGUCCAUGUGAAUGCCAAGUUCUUGAAGCAAAGAUUUUACCCAAAUGAGUUCCGCCGAGGCCAUGGCAAUGGCUCGAUAUUCUGCUUCAGUAGACGACCAUGCAACCGAUUGUUGCUUUCGAGAACUCCAAGAGAUAGGAUUGGCUCCUAUAUAAAUCACAAAACCCGAAGUAGAUGUGCGAUCAUCAAUGUUUCUUGCCCAAUCUGCAUCGGUGUAGGCAUGAAGCAUAGGUCGUGUGUCGCAUCUCAAGUGCAACCCAUGGAAUAAUGUUCCCUUAAGAUAGCGUAAAAGCCUUUUUGCAGCUGUCCAAUGGGUUGUGGUCGGCUUAUGCAUGAAUUGAGAUAGCUUGUUUACUGCAAAACCAAGAUCCGAGCGAGUAAUGUUGAGGUAUUGAAGUGCGCCAAUGAGACUUCGAAAUUCUGUAGCAUUGGCUGGUGAUUGUUUGUCAUGAACCGAAAGAGAAUGACCUGUGGCUAAUGGUGUUGCUACCUCUUUUGCAUCUCCCAUUUUGAAGCUCUCUUAUGUAUUUAUGUUGAGAAAGAAGUAAGCCAGUCUUUGUAGGAAUGACUUCAAUUCCCAAAAAGAAAUGCAGUGGCCCCAAGUCUUUAAUUGAGAACCGAUUAGAGAGAGCAUUGAUGAAGUCCGAAACAAACUUUUGGUCACUUCAUGUGAUAAUGAGAUCAUCCACGUACACUAAAAAAUAGACUUGAACACCACCAUGAGAGUAAAUGAACAUCGAACUAUCAUUCUUUGAAUUGACAAAUGAAUUUGCGAGAAGGAAUGAACUUAGCUCAUUAUACCAAGCCCGCGGAGCCUGCUUUAACCCAUAUAUGGCUUUGCAAAGUUUGCAAAUGUGUGUUGGUUUUUCUGAGUCUUUAAAGCCAGACGAUUGCGACAUGUAAACCUCAUCCUGAAGAGUGCCUUGGAGGAAGGCAUUGUUGACGUCCAUUUGUUUCAAUGUCCAUCCAUGCAUUAAAGCCAAUGAUAAAACCACCCGAAUAGUAUUUGGUUUGAUGACCGGGCUAAAUGUAUCAGUGUAAUCAAGGCCUGGUCGUUGGUAAAAACCUUUGGCCACAAGACGUGCCUUGUACCGCUCAAUAUUGCCGUCCACACGUCUUUUUAUCCGAUAAACCCAUUUGCAACCUACAACAUUCAAAGAUGGAUCAAAAGGUAUUAGUUCCCAAGUCCCGUUACGAAUAAGGGCACUGAUCUUAGCCGACAUUGCUUCACGCCAUUGAGGAUCGCACAUAGCUUGUAUAAUUCCUGUUGGUUCUAUAGUCGGUGGAAGUGGAUGUUUGGUGAUGAAGUGGUUGAGUUGUUUGGGCUUGAAAAUAUUAUUUUGGGAUCUAUUGGUCAUUUUGUGAGUUCUUGUAGGUGGAUUUUCGGGGGUUGAUGUUUGGUCAUUAUUGAUAGUGGCAAUUGGGUUUUCAAGAGGUGGCAUUUGUUGGGAUUGAUGUGAGGGUUGGGAAGUCGAUGAGGAUGUAGCACGGGAUGGAAUGUUGCUUCGAGGGGGCACCUGUGCAGAUGGUCCAAUGUUUGGUACUAAAACUAGAAGUGAAACAGUAGGUGGAGGAGAUGGACUUUGAGGGGUUGACAAGACACUUUUAGUAUUGAGAAGUGUUUGGUACGGAAAUGUGUUUUCUUCGAACACAACAUGACGUGAGAUAUAAAGACGAUUAUUUUGUGGAUCAAAACAUUUAUACGCACUUUGUGACAAUGAAACCCUAAAAAUAUACAUUGUCGAGAGCGAGACAUAAGUUUAUUUGUGUUGUAUGGACGUAACCACGAAUAGCAAAGACAACUAAAUGUGCGGAGUUUUUUUAUAAUUGGGAGCCAUUUGGAAUAAUGUUUGAAAUGGUGAAUGCAUAUUUAGAACGGGUGUUGGCAAACGAUUAAUGAGGUAUAUAGCAGUUUGAAAUGCAUAUGACCAAAAAGAAUGUGGUAGAUUUGCUUUGUGUAAUAGGGUGAGUCCGGUUUCAACUAUGUGUCGGUGUUUUCUUUCUGCAUUUCCAUUGUGUUCCGGUGUGUGUGGCGGUGUAGUUAGAUGAGAAAUUUCAUGUUUUGCAAGAAAAGGUUUCGAGUUUUGAAAUUCUCCACCACCAUAUGAGUAUAAAUUUCGAAUAGAGACGGAAAAUUGUUUUUCAACCAAGCUUUUCAACUGUUCAAAAACUUGAGUAACAUCUGGUUUUUUUCUUAAAGGAUAAGGCCAAGUGUAUUUCAUGUAGUGGUCAACAAAUAUAAGAUAGUAACGGAAACCAUCAAUUGAAACAGUUGACACAGGACCCCAAACAUCGGAAAAAAUAAUAUCAAGUGGAAAAUGACUUACAAGAGUUGAUACCCCAAAUGAAAGUUUGUGACUCUUAUUGCACUGACACGCAUCACAUGAUAACUUGGAGCCUACAAUUGACUCAGAAGAUAAAUGAGUUGGAAAAUUGUUAAGAACAUGACUUAGAAUACGAAACAAAGGGUGACCUAGUCGAUUGUGCCAAACCAUCGGUUUUGUCCGCUCAUUGACAAAGGCUGUGAAUUUUGGAUGAGUGUUUGUGAGAGGCAUCCGAUACACGCCAUUGCUAAGCCCUCCUUGAAGUAAUGUCGCUCUCAUGCGAAGGUCCUUCACCAAAAAAUAAUUGGCAAAAAACUCGAUAGAUGAGUGGUUAUUGCGACAAAAUUGUGAGAUAGAAAUCAGGUCUUUGGUACUAUUAGGUGCACAUAAAACAUUGGUUAAUUUAAAGGAUUGGUUUGGAUAGGAUAAAUUAGUAGAACCAACAUGACUGAUACGCAAACCUGUGCCAUCACCAAUGACGAUCUCAUCGGGGCCUUCGUACUCUGAGUGAGUGGUGAGGAUGUUGAGAUUGCUUGUGACGUGAUGUGAUGCUCUUGAGUCUAGUAGCCGGCCAUUUUCUUGACAUGGAGCUGUUGCAACAUGAGCAGUAGGUUCACGGAGACUAUUUCGAAUGCGAAAACAAGAUUUGGCUGAGUGUCCAUAUUGAUCGCAAAACUAACAUGUCGGACGAGGCUCUCUGUUGUCCCGAUUAGAAUACCUCCUAUGAGAAGGUCCACGAUGCUGGUUAGAUCUAGAAUAAUUUUGAUGACGGCUGCGAUUGUUGGGCCAACGAGAGUUGCUUCUUGUGCCACGGUUUCUGUUGCUGUAGUUGGCUGUGACUGGUGCUGUGACUGGUGCCGCUUCAAGUCUAAUUUCCUCCAGUUUUAGUUGGGUUUCAUAGGCCACCAAUUUGUCAUGCAUUUCUUCAAAGCUGAUUGUAUUUUCACGAGCCCUAAUCGCUAUUGCGAUUUCUUUGUAUUCGGUUCCAAGUCCUCGAAGUGCAUGAAUGACUAAAUCAUCAUAAGAGAUAGGAGUGUCAAUGAUUGCCAAUUCAUCGGCAAGGGCUUUAAGUUCCUGCAAAAAUUCUGAAACAAAAUGUGAGUUUCGGCGAGCGGUAGAGAGUUGAUCCUUGAGAUGCAUAACUCUUGAGCGGGAUUUAUUUGCAUAUAAAUUCAUGAGUUUUGUCCAGGUAGCGUAUGACGAAUUGCAAGAGGCAAAAAUUGCAUGAAGCAAGAGCUGAUGCUGGCGAAUCCAAGUUGUUGCGGUUGGAUUUGGCACCGUUUGAUUUCCAGUUGAAAUGGUGAGAGGCGGACAGACAAAAGUUCCAUCAACAAAUCCCAUUAAAUCAUAACCAAUGAGUAGUGCUUGAAAUUGAGCACGCCAAGAGGGAUAAUUGGCAGCAGAGAGUUUGAAUGGCAAUUGGACGGCAGCUGAGAUCGAGAUCACACCAUUAGGUGCAAUUGUUUCGAUGGAAACGGAACUAGAAUUCGAGGUGGUGCAAGCUGAUUCUAAAGUGAAUUCCAUGGCUAGAGGGUGCAGAAGAUUGCAAAAAAAAAAAAAAUGCAGAAUAAUUGGAUCAAAAAGCUCUUAAGAGUAUAAUUGCUCUGAUACCAUAAAGAAGCUCACAAUUUGUGGAUGAUUUUCAUAUCACAUAAUUUACAGAUUGUACAUGCUUAUAAAGAGAAGGAAAAAUACAAUCUUUUACAGAGUAAGAAUCAUGGAAUACCAACUCAUCUACAGUUGGUAUGCUAAUAUGAAAAUAAAACAAUAUAUAAAAAAGAUUUCAUAUUCAAAAAAUAAUAUUAGAAAAAGAUUUCAUAUCUUAACAGAUGCAUUCUUUCUUGCAUAAAUUCCUAAAGACUUCAUGGACUAAAAUUAUUUUUUCUUUUGUACACAACUUGCAAAAUUAUGAAGGAACACAACAAUAUAGUCAGCACAUACAUCACGUCACUUGCCAACCAAAAAGACAGAAGAACCUUAUUUGUUGAAGAAAGGCUAAAUGGGAGAUCUUGAAUCGGCUUUUCUGUCUUGCAAGGGCACUUAUAUAUAUAGAGAUAGGAGGAAGCCGAGCAAGUGGAUAUACAUAGAGAUAGGAGGAAGCCGAGCAAGUGGACAUACCAAUACAAGAUAAUAUUAUUUUUCACGAUUUGUUGAUUGGGGUUGGUUUUGACAUCUUUAGAAUUUUUCAGCUUAUAACGGGUCAUUUCCUAGAUUUGAAGAUCUAAUUGACUUGUUUGUUAAAAUAUCCUAUGCUCUUUGUAUACAUGUGAUAUGUCUCCAUCCAUUAACUUAAAUUUUAGGGUUGAACUUUAUACAUUAUUAAUCUUUUGUUUUUGUUUUUUGUUUUUUGUUUUCCUUCAGGUUACUUGACUUGGUUUGCAUUACGUAAGUUUUCUAUUGUGGCAAUACCCAGUACCUGAAGUUCUCAUGAUGCAAAGGAUUGAUUAUUAAGUGAUUCAUCAUUUUUAUGUAACUAAAUGAAGGACUAGGUUUGGCCAAACAACACUUGACUUUGUAUUUCUGAGAUCGAGGAAUGGUUUAAUGGAUGGAAAGCAGUUUUCGUCUGAAUUUUCGGUUCAUCCACUCUGGAUUCUGCAACUAUUUUCUUGUAUUAUUUUCAAUUAAUUUAAAACUCCAACCAGGUCACGCCAUGUGUACUUACUGUUUAAUUCACUUUAGAAUUGUGUGUAGCAUGUAAGGGCGUUAAGGGUUCGGUUUGAGUCUGAUAUUUUUUAUACCUGACUUGAAUCAAUGCCCAUAUUGCAAAAUCACAUUCAAAACCAAGAAAAGCAAAAUCUUCACCGUUUGAUGUACAAUUCAUCUCACCCACCAGUCAAAACUACGAAAUUCCCUCUUGGCCAAAAAAAAAAAAGAAGUCGAAAAAUAGAACCUUAAUCAAUUUUCUCUGUAUCUUCACUAUAUGUUGUUCGUUGACUUGGUGGAUUUAGUGCAACUUCCCUUAAAAGUCCUUCACCAAGGUGCCUUGAAAGAUCCACAUCUCCCUGUCAGUUAACCUCUGUCAUUCUUCUAGCAGAUGAGUGUUGGAGAAAUCCUCGUGAAGAGUUUUGAAGUUGACAAAAUGUUUCCGUCAGUCUAGUCUGAAGGUCAGCAGACUCUAUUGGUUAAAGUCUGAAGACUUCCGGACAGCCAGACUCAAGACUCAAAGUCUAUCCUCAUUGACAGUCACUGAUCCGUUGAAGAAAGGUUAUCCCGAACUAGAUGUUUUGUUCAGGAUUUAACCUUGUCAUCUGGAGAAGAUCUCGUGGCUGGAGAAGACGUAUCAGAAUCCUUUGAUUGAUCAAGAUUGAUUCAAUGACUGAAGAUUCGAUGAUUGUCUAAAUAUUAUUGGAAGGUUCUACUUAUGGAAACCGAGAUCCUGAUUGUAUGGGCGAACAGGAUUGAUGGGCUAUCAACACGUUCCUUUAAUAGCUAGAACGAUCUUCCUAAUUGAUUCCGUCCAACGGGUAGAUUGGAGGAAUUCCUUUGGAAAGUGCCAACGGGUAUGAUGGCAUAAAGGAGUAUAUAAGGAAGACGUUCUUAGUUGUUUAAGGAGUGCGCGAUAGAAGAAUUCCAAAGUCUGAAGCUCCUAUUUGUUUAGAUAAAUCUCUUGAGCGAAUACUUGUAUACAAAAGAGAGUCUAUAUUUGUGAGAGACCUUGAGAAGGUGUGAUAGAACAUCUACACUGUGGAAUCAAGGCAAAGCUGUGCUGUAACUUCUCUUUUGAUCAUAGUAAAAUCCAGCCGGUAGGCUGUCAGUGUGGAAGAGUGGACGUAGGCUUGGAAUAAGCCGAACCACUAUAAAUCCUGUGUUUGAUUUUCUCUUCCUUACUCUCUCUACAUCGAUCGUAUUUCAAUCUGUUGCUUCCGUAUAUCGAAAAAGUGUUUGUGCGCCUAUUCACCCCCCCUCUAGGUGUUUAUACUAGCAAUAUCAAUGAGGACUCAAAAUGUGUGGCAGCCUCAUUACCAAUAUUUGGUAAUGGGUUGUUGUUGCCAACAUGUCGGACUCUUAUUGAUUACUAGUUCUCGCCAUUGUAAUCUUCUUGAAUCAAUAAAAUGUGUCCCACUAAACUUGCCAAAAAGAUAUUUCACCGAAAAGUCAAUGAAAUACCUUUCAAAAUAUGGAUGGAUCAAUAAUUGAUCAACAAAAGGUUGUGAAUGGUCCUUUGUUGAUUGGAUAGAAAGUAAAUGAGAAGGAAUUUAAAUGAAUGAAGUUUGGAGACAAUUGUAUCCUAACCAUGUAAAUUGCAAGAAAGUAAAGAUAAAAAAUAAAUUUGUUGAAAAAUGUUGAGUUUUAUGAUUGACUGAGAUAAAGAGUACACUUAGAAUAUUUAUAGUCCACAAGCAACGGUUACAUAGACAAUUAUAUCGAAUUCACUACACUAACGGUCACAUAAACUCCAUGACUAGCGGUUGCUUGACAACUGAAUUGAUACCACUACCUUAAUGGUUAUUUGAUGGUUAUCGGGAACCUACUGCAUUGACGGUUAUAUCGACUCCACUACCUUGAUUAUCUCAUUGACGGUUGCAUCCAAAAUUGUUGACUCUACUACUUGAUAGUUAUGUUGCCUCCACUUCCUCAUCAGUUGCAUAUGAGAUUGUCGAUUGAACAAUUGGACAUUUUUUGGCGUUAACUGGGUCACAUGUCUUCUACAAUAUUGUGGUUCGAUUCAUGUCAUAAGCGAAUCUUUGAAUAGUUAAUGCUACAUUGCAUAGCUGUGGCAUACCUUGUGUGGAGAGAUUUCAUGACUAUUAGCAUUUUGAUGAACUUGUGAUGAUAGGCUUGUCAGUCUCAAACCCUUGAGUGGUGUGGAAUUAUUAUGGCUUAAACUAAACAUUUUGUACAGGUUGCAAAAUUGACCCUCGCCAAAGUGAUAAAUGUAUUCAUUCCUGCCAAUGACGAUACUACUCUAACCACUAAUUUUGUGACAAGGAAACCAACAACUUGAGAAGCGAGUUUCAUCUUUCCUUAAGCACAAAUUGUUAUUUUGACAAUAAUAUAGAACCUGUAGGUCAAGUACUUGCUAAUUGUUCUAAAAACUUAAAUUAUUAGAUAACACUUGAUAUGAUCUUUUUGCCUAGUACUAAUCAUGGAAAUUUAAUUGGAGAGGCAAAUGGAGCUUGGAAAGAUUCGAACUAAGGACCUUCAACUCUGAUAUCAUGUGAGAUUUUGUAGGACCACUACUAAUUGUUCUAAAAGUUUAAGCUGUUAGAUGAAGACGCGGUUUAAUAUUUAAUUACUUUAACAUAAUUUAUGAGAAGAAAAAAUUACUAGGCCUGCCAAAAAAAAAAAAAGCUUAGUAAGAUUAUUGUUCCGUGGAAUGAAACAUGUAAAUGUCAACUUUAAAGCUCCGUUCUUUCAUAGAAGAUGUGACAUUUCUAGAAAGUAUUUUACAGAAAGUCAUUGCCUAGAAAAUAAUAAUAUUUUUUGGUGUUUGUUGAAACUUAAGACUAGAGUUAAUUUUUUUUAUUUUUUGCCAUUUGAUAGCUGAUUUGAUUUCCUUUGUACAUUAUAUAUAUAUAUAUAUAUAUAUAUAUAUAUUAUUUUUUUGCUCUUGUUUAUUUUUUUAAAUUGAAUUUUUAAUUAUUUUUAUUUUUGUUUUAUUUUCUUUCUUAUUCUUUCCUUUUCUUUUCCUUGGGUAGUCACUGGCGAGGCUUGAGCUUCCCGACCUCUGGCGAUGCUCAAGUGUCACCGAUCUGCAAGGCUUGAGCCUAGCCAUUCUCUAGCAUUGCCGGCUUUCACUGUGGCUGGUGAUCAACCAAAGAAGAAGAAAAAGGAAAAGGGAAAAAAAUAAAAUUUUCAAAUUAAAAAAUAAAAUAAUUAAAAUAAUUAAAAUGAGUGGUGAAGUAAAUAGUGGGGAAAAUGUUUUUAUUUUUCCAUUGGAGAAAAUAAUUUCCACGACUAGUUUAUUUUCUAUGAAGCGAAUGCUAGAAGAUCUGGAAAAAACAAAUGGAGCGCAAGUAUUUCACAUUUUGGUUUAUUUCUUCAUAAAGAAAUUUUUAGGAGUUUUAUAAGCAUACUCGAAUUGCAAAGGCAAAAACCCAUCACUCUUUGGCGGUACCGACUCGGAGCUGACCUUGGCAUCGCCUAGCUAGGGUAUAAUGACCCUAGGUGGGCAUGGUUGCACAAGGUAGAUAUUGUCUAGGUCGCUGGACCAGUGAGCUUUACUGGUGACCCAAGCGAAGUCUUGCAGGUGUUCCGGCCACCUAAGGUGAGCAGCUAGUGUGGGGCACACGACCUAGCCUCGCCUGGGUUGACCAACUCAUGACAGGCCUUGCUGAUGUUCGCCCAAUCCUAGUGUUGCCUCCCUGGGGUUCAUGUUGCCCCAUAGCCUCAACCUCGCUCAUCGGAAAUCUUCUAACAGACGCUCUUCUUGCUCGACAUUCCUCUGAAGGCGCACCCUUGAAAGAAAGAGCAAGCAACGAAUAGAAGGAGUAUGCCUAGUUAAGAGGAGAGAGCCCAUUUUUUUUUCUUGUAAAGACUGGAUUGAGUGCGCUUCGGAUGAUAGAGCCUGCGAUGGCCUCCUCUACAAAAUACAUUUCGGAAGAAAAGCUGCUCUUGUUUAUCAGCAAGGUGGAUGGGGAGUACGCGGCUGAAGAAGCACAGGCGCUUGUAGCUUUUAUAGUUAAGCUAAGUAGAUGGGCCGUGGAUGGAUAGGUUAGCAGUGGGUGCAGACAACAAGAUGGAAGUAGAAGUGUUCAAGUGUCUCAUGAGAUGGGAGCUGCCAGCCCACAGGCAAGUCCCUUGUAGAGAACAUAGAUCAUAGGAGCACCCAACCAUGACAAGGCUGUUAUAGAUGAAGCCAAAUAUUUGUUUUUAGGGGAUUUUUGUGUCUUUUCUAUUAGAUUUCCUUUUAGAUUAAAAGUGGUAUCUUUAUAUUAGCGAUGAAAAGACCCUAGCAGUCAAGACGCUGAAAAAGGAAAUAGAGAGGCAAGAAAAAGAGAGAAGAAAAAAGUGAGUUUUUUCUUGAUGAGGGUUCUCAAUCUCUUUGUGCCCUUAUCUUGAGAGAAGAUCAUUAUUGUAUUCCAACUGUUUUCAAAGUCUAGUGGAUUCGUAGAAUGCCUCUGCGUGGAGACGUAGCCCAGGUUUGGGUGAACUUCAAUAACAAAUUUUCUGGCAUGUUCAUUUGAUUCUAUUCUUUUAUUACUAUAUUCUGUCUGGUGAAUUAUUUGCAAGUGUUAUUUUUGUGGAAUCGACGUACGAUUUCGUAAUAACUGGUAUCAAAGCCUGGAUUGGCUAAUCGAGAACAUCGAGGGUUUUUUCGGUGACGUUCGAUUGAAAGCAAAUAGUAUGGCAGAAGAUAAAAUCAUAAUCGAUAAGUUCAAUGGAGAGGAUUUCGGAUGGUGGAAACUACAAAUAGAGGAUUAUCUUUAUCAAAAAGAUCUCUAUGCACCACUUGAGGGCUGGAAACCCGAGGUGGCGGAAGUGGAUCCAACAGUAGAAGCCGGAUGGAAAAUUCUUGAUCAAAAGGCAUUAGGUGCGAUUUGUCUAGGGUUGACGAAAAAGACAAGGUACCACAUCGCGAAAGCAAAAACUACAAAAGAAGCCAUGGAUAUUGUAACGAAUAUUUAUGAAAAGCCGUCCACAUCAAAUCAGGUAUUUUUGCUGAAGAAACCGGUUAAUAUGAAGUUAUUUGAUAGAAGUUCUGUGGCAGAGCAUAUUAAUAGUUUCACGCAGGUCACAUGUCAAUUGGAAUCUGCAGGCAUAAAUUUAGAUAUGAAGCUUCAAGCUUUAUUAUUUUUAUGUUCUCUUCUAGAAAGCUACAAUACCGCAGUGUAGGGAAUUUCGAGCACUAUGAAGAAUGAUUUAACUCUUGAUGAUACUGUGAGUAGUAUCAUGGAUGAAGGGAUGCGAAGGAAAGUCUCAGGUGGAGAUAAUUUUUCUGCAUCUACAUCUUCAACGGAACUCGCAGUGGAGAACCGUGGAUGAAGUAAAAGUAGAUGAAAUUUCAACGGGUGUGGCAUAUCACAAUUAAGGGGUAAGAGACAGGUUGCAAAAGAUGAGUGUUGGUAUUGUCACAAAACCAGACACCGGAGGUUUCAAUGUGAAGCCUACAAAAAGAAGCAGCAAGAUGAGAAUCAAUGUGCUAAUAUAGUUAGCGAUGAAUCUUUGCUAGAUAACUUGUGUUUGUAUGCAGGGUUUGACUGGACAACAGAUAAAUGGUUUAUUGAUUCUGGUGCUUCUUUUCAUUGCACCUCACAAAGAGACAUAUUUGAUGAUUAUGCCAGUGGAGAUUUCGGACAAGUGGUUGUGGGAAACGGCCACAUGUGUCCCAUUGUUGGGAAAGGAACCGUGAUUGUGAACAUCUUAGGUGGAGGACGUCUAGUUUUGCAUGAAACUAGGCAUAAAAUCUGAUUUCAACCAAUAAACUUGACCAAGGAGGUUUGGUGAUAACCUUUGGCUGCGGAGAGUGGAAGAUAACCUCAGGGGCAAGAGUAGUAGCAAAGGGAAAGCGUACGGGUACACUUUACCUUCUCCAAGGAGACAAUAUCAGUGAUAUGGUUGCAACUAUAAUGGCUACAGGUAAUUUAUCUACUAUUUGGCAUUAUCGUUUGGGACAUCUUGGUGAAAAAAAGGUGUAAAGAAGUUACACUCAAGAAAAUUACUCCCAGGUUUGCAAAAAGUUGAGUUAGAUUUUUGUGAGAGUUGCAUUUAUGGAAAACAGAAGGUUGUUAGUUUUCAAUUGAAUAGGUGACAAAAUAAAGGUCAGAAGCUAGAGUUGGUUCAUACUGAUGUAUGGGGACCUGCUCAGGAACUCUCUUAUGGUGGUAAGAGAUAUCUUGUCAUAUUCAUUAAUGAUGCAACAAGGAAGACUUAGGUCUAUGCUCUUAAAGAAAAAUCAGAAGUAUUCGGGAUGUUCAGAAUGUGGAAGACCAUGGUAGAAAAAGAAAUAGUUUAUCAGAUUAAAGUUGUAAAGUCUGAUAAUGGUGGUGAAUACACAAGUAAGGAAUUUGCAGAAUAUUUGAGUCGAGAGGGCAUACACGGGUUAAAGACCAUUCUUAGAACUCCUCAAGAGAACGGUGUAGCUAAAAGGAUGAACAUGACUAUUCUAGAACGUGCGAGAUGCAUGAGGCUAAAUGCGGGUCUCUCGUUACACUUAUGGGCCGCCACAGUUGAUGCAGCUGUUUAUCUUAUCAACAAAAGUCCAUCUAGUGCGUUGGAUGGAGAAAUACCAUAAGAACGGUGGUCAGGUAAAAAGAUUAAUUAUUCUCAUCUAAAGGUGUUUGGUUGUAUUGCAUAUCCUUUGACUGACAGGGAGGAUAGGAAAAAGCUUGAUGCUAAGUCCCAUAAUGCGUCUUUAUUGAAUACAGUGGCGACGAGUAUGGCCAUAGGCUUUGGGAUUAUGAGAAUAACAAAGUCAUUCGCAGUCGCAAUGUGGUAUUCCAUGAAGAAAAGAUGUACAAUGAUCAUCAGACAAAGACAGAACAUGAGAAGGCAGUGCAACCAGAAUAUGUUGAAUUAGACACAAUACCCGUGAAGAUGUUUCCAGUAGAUCGAAGUUCACCUAAAAGAGAGGUUCAAGAUGAGCCUGUUAUCAGUGAAGAGGUAGUUCAAGAGGAAUGCAUUAAUUUGGAGCAAACUACACGACCCUGAAGUACCUGUCUUGAGAAGGUCUACACGUGUGAGAAAGCUAAAGGUAAUUUUUGAUCCAUUAGUUAAUACUGUUCUGAGCCAUGUCUUAUAUACAGAUUCAGGGGAACCGGACACUUACAAUGAGGCAAAGGCAGACACGUCUCACUUGCAGUGUGAGUGUGCUAUGAAAGACGAGAUGAGCUCGUUACUUCAGAACAAAACUUGGGAGUUGACCAAGUUGCCCACAGGUAAAAUUUUUUUAUUAAACAAAUGGGUGUACAGGAUUAAGAAUGAGGCAGAUGGUAAUAUUAGAUACAAGGCGAGACUUGUAGUCAAUGGCUUUUCUCAAAAAGAAGGGAUUGACUACUCCGAGAUAUUUUCACCUGUAGUGAAAAUGACAUCAAUUAGAGUUUUGCUGAGUAUAGUUGCAGUGGAGGAUCUUCAUCUUGAGCAGUUAGACGUAAAAACAACGUUUUUACAUGGUGACUUAGAUGAAGAAUUAUACAUGGCACAACCUAAGGGUUUUGAAGUCAAAGGUAAGGAGCACAUGGUAUGUCGCUUGAAGAAAAGCUUGUAUGGCUUGAAACAAGCUCCGCGGCAAUGGUAAUUAAAAUUUGAUGGUUUCAUGCAAGAAAAAAGAUUUGCACACUGUGAGUCUAAUCACUGUGUUUAUUUUUGCAAGUAUGAUGAUGGUGACAUUGUGUAUCUCUCUUUAUAUGUGGAUGACAUGCUAGUGGCUAGUUCCAAUAUAAAGAGAAUCUUAGAAGUAAAGAAGAUGUUAUCAUUACAGUUUGCUAUGAAAGACUUGGGAGAUGCCAAGAAUAUUUUAGGCAUGAAAAUCAUCAGGGACAGGAAAAAUAAGAAAUUAUGGUUGUCGCAGGAAGACUAUGUAAACAAGGUGUUAAAGAGAUUUAACAUAGACAAGUCAAAACCGGUUGCAACUCCUCUAGCGAGUCACUUCAAACUUUCAAAGGAUAUGUGUCCGAACACUUAGGUUUUGAAAGAUGAGAUGGCAGUAGUUCCAUAUGCAUCAGCAGUGGGAAGUUUGAUGUAUGCCAUAGUGAGCACGAGACCAGAUAUUGCACAAGCAGUGGGAGUUGUGAGUCGAUAUAUGCAGAACCCAGGCAGAGAGCAUUGGAAUGCAGUAAAAUGGAUAUUGAGAUAUCUAGCAGAUACUUCCAAUUACUCACUUUGUUAUGGUAGUACAUCUAUAGAGUUGCAGGGUUAUGUAGAUGUAGAUCAUUCGGGUGAUCGAGAUAGUGGUAAGAGUACCACUGGAUAUGUCUUUACAGUUGUAGGUACAAUAGUGAGUUGGGUGUCUCAGUUACAAAAAGUAGUGGCUUUAUUGACAAUAGAGGCAUAAUACGUGGCGCUCACAGAAGUCUCCAAGGAAAUCAUAUGGUUACAAGAUUACAUGGAGGAGCUACAUCGAAAACAGCCAGUCAGUACACUUUGGAGUGAUAGUCAAAGUGCAGUGCACUUAGCAAAGAAUGCAGCUUAUAACUCAAGGACUAGACAUAUCAAGAAGCGUUAUCACUUUAUCAGGUUAGCAUUGAAAGAUAAUGAGUUAAAGUUACAGAAGAUUAAUGGCUCAAAGAAUCCAGCUGACAUGAUGACCAAGGUAGUAGACAGAGAGAAGCAUAUUUUCUAUAUACUACCAUUGGUAUUACUCAAUGCUGAUUGAUGAUGAGUAUCACAGAGGCACAAGUUUUUUAACUACUUUAUUUUUGAAGAAGAUGCAUGCAAAGUUACUUGGUGCUUGGGUAUAUUUGUCUUCAAGUGGGAGAUUCCCAAGUCCAUCAUAAGUGAUGGAGACUCAAGAUUUACUAGGCGUUUUUUGACGGAAGUCCUCCUUUUAAACAGUCUAUUCUUAUACUAGGGAUUUUUGGUUACAAGAGUAGGUUAUAGAUGAAGCCAAAUAUUUAUUUUUAUGGGCUUUUUUGUCUUUUCUAUUAGAUUUCCUUUUAGGUUAAAAGUGGUAUCUUUAUAUUAGCGAUGAAAAUACCCUAGCCAUCAAGACACUGAAAAAGGAAAUAGAGAGGCAAGAAAAAGAGAGAAGAAAAAAGUGAGUUUUUUUCUUGAUGAGGGUUCUCAAUUUCUUUGUGCCCUGAUCUUAAGAGAAGAUCAUCGUUGUAUUCCAACUUUUUUCGAAAUCUAGUCGAUUCGCAGAGUGCCUCUGCGCGGAGAUGUAGCCCAGGUUUGGGUGAACUUUGAUAACAAAUUUUCUGGCGUGUUCAUUUUUUAUUACUAUAUUCUGUCUGGUGAAUUGUUUGCAAGCGUUAUUUUUGUAGAAUCGACGUGCGAUUUCGUAACAAAGGCUCCCUUCAUGGACAAGAAUUGCUUGUUUAUCUAUUUGAUUCACUGCAUAUCCUUCAAUCCCUCCUUAUGUUGCUCGCAACUACGAGAAUUCUGAUUGACAUAACUUUUUCCGUAUAGCCAGUCCGAGGGAAUAUAGCACUCCCGACACAUAGACCACCUGAUGAAGGAGGGAUCGGGAAAGCUACAAGCUGGAUUUUUGCCCUAUUACCAGUAGCUCCACACUGAGGAUUACCAGCGCAGCAAGAUUGGGCUAUAGUAACAUCACUCCAUUCUCAUAAGAGACCUCAAAGUUUAUUGGCAAAAAGAGUAGGACAUUCCAUGUAAAUCUCGCUGGUUGAUAUCACAAGGGUUUGAAGAGGAAUUGCCCUCUUACUUCUUUACCCAAGCCUUCCCGAGUUAAUCCAGUGCUACAUCCAUAUGUGAUUUGUGAUUUUUUAUUUUUGGUUUUGUUCUGCUCUCACUCUCAGACUUUUGUUCUAUCUCUUUGCAAGACGUGGGAGUAGAAACUCAUACCUGAAACUAAAUCGUUUCCAUUUUAACCCUCCUAGAAGGUGGGGAUUUGAACUUCACACCUCUCCUUUCUCAUAUGAGAAUGAUGGCCACCGUUACCUCCCUUUAUGAUUCAAUCAAUGUGAAUUUCACUGUUAAUGAAUGAAGGUUAGAAAACAACUUGAAGCCAAGACAAGUUGGUAAAUGCGGUGGUUGAGUCUAGAAUAUUGCUUUGUCUUGGAUAUUUUACACAUCAAAGCACUAUUUGAUUUUACUAAAUGCCCUUCGACUCAACGCAAUAUUUUAAAGGCAAAGCAUUUUCAAACUCACCCGAAAAGACUAGCGGCAAUAGCUUUAGUUGCUUUGGACCAAGCAGUUGAAGAAAGGUCUCUUGCCUGAGCAAAGCUGUUUUCUUAUCAUCUCAUUUGUGGAGAAAUGUGGUUCAAUUUAUGUAUCCUCCAAUGCACGUUUCCAUCUGAAGAGGGAGGCUAACAAAAUGCCAUCUUGACUGGUCAUUUGCCAGAUCAGUAUCUGAAUAGAAAAUAAAUGGUUUAUUAUAGCACUAGGAAAAGGCGUGCCUCGUCUUAUCUUCUACUGGGGCUUUUUCUGAGUGGAAGAUUCGAACACAUUUAGCGGCUUGCGGUUAUGAAACUAAAAAUAACCACUCAAUUAGUUAAGAGGCCAUUCGAUUACGUUUACAAACAAUAAAUUUCUGUCCUUUAAAGUGAAAGAAAAAAACAAUGCAUAAACUUGGAAAAUGAUGUAUAAUUUCAUUAUUUCAAUGCACUUAUUUGUCUACACUCAAUUGGACUCCAAUAAAGAAAAGGGAACGAAUAGGAGAAACUCUCAAAUGAAUUGAACGUUUAUUUUCCACACACACUUCUCUUUUUUAUUUGAUGAAAUGGUCACAAGACUUAUCUUUUAUAGGCUUGUUAAAUAACUCUUAAUCUUAAAUAAUACGCAAAUGUAUCCAACAUUUCAAGGAGAUGCAUUCCUUGAAUUUACAAAUUAUUGAAAUAGACAUAGAAACAUGAAUCUACACAUACAUGAACAUUCUAGAUGCAUGUAGGACAUCCAUGAAUUGUAGUUAAUAACCGACACAUGUCACCCCGAUAGGCUUGAGGUUAACCAAGCCUGUAGGACUCUAACUUAGGGUUUCAAUUGUCCUUAUAGAUAAAUACCCUUGAUUGCACAAUAUUGACACGUUGAUUUUGACUUCCCUUUAGUUUAGUUAGGAUUAGCAUUUAUCUUUUCCUUAGUGUUAAUUCUUUGCUAUCCCAUGAAAUAUAUUUAAUGCUUUCCUUGGUUACUGAUUGUUACGUUAAUAAUUGUGCACCCGCAUGAUCACAUCGUAUGUUAGUCAAUAAGUAUAAAUCAAUCUAGAUUACUUGACAAAAACAUCCUCUUUUUAAAAUGAACAAAAUUAGGUAGCAAAAGGUCAUUAAUUGGUUAAUUAGUGUAAUGAAGUCCUCGAAUCUAGAUUCUCUAGUUGCGUAAGAAGUGAGAUAUACUCUUAUACCCCACUUAGUUUCUAGUCGACCCUAAUAGACUAGUAGCGACUCUUUAUUACAAAAUUCCUAUGAAUCCUCUAAUGUUGCGUGAGGUAUGGGCUUGAGAGAACCCGUGCCUAAUCAUGGCCCAUACAUCUGUCUUUUAGGCAAUGCUCCUAAAUCUAUUCCCUCCCCCCAAGGGGUAAGUCGUGACAGCUUGGCGACUCCGUUGGAGACUUGAUUUAAACUUUAGAUGACUUAGGCUUAAAUCUAUCUUGUUCAAAAAUAAGUUUUGUUUGGCAGCGAUAAUAUUAGGUACGUCCCUAACGUGAGUGUUAAAUGUUUUUGCAGUUGAGAGUUAUGAGGGGAGGAGUGAUUGUUAACCCCUUGUCUUGUAGGUGUGAAGUUGGGAAUGAAUGUUUAUGUUUUGAAUUUUUGAAGUGUUGCUUGUGUAUAAACUGUUGUGUAUAUAUUCUUUGCACCACACUACACUAGCACACAUGAUCUACCACAGAACUUGGGCCACAUAGGAUUUCUUAUAAUAGUGUUGAGGCGAAUAUCACUCAAACUACGAUCAUGUAGUACGAGUCACCCAUCUCAACCCUGAAAUUUCCUUCUUAAUGUCAAGAGUUACCACCCUGUCGACAAUCACACAACAUGGGUAAACUCUUUGACGAAGCCGGAGUCAUGGGAACCCCGACCCAACUGUGAUCACGUCGGUUUAGUCCAAUAAUCUCGUACCUCUAUUUUGAACCGUAUAGAGUAGAAAUCGAACUACAUCCCAUGUGCAUAUCUAUGUAAUAAAAUAAAAAAAGAGAGAGAAAAGUCACCCCCACUGUAAAUAUCAUUUUUCUUUUAUUUGUUAUUUAUUUAUUUAUUGAACUUUCAUUUUGAAAUUCGUGGAAAUCAAUCUCGAUUUUUUACCUUUUUGGCGUGUUGAUUAAAAAUCAAGUGUCGAUAGUAAUGAGAUGGCUAAGGGUAUGGUUACGAUGAAAAAAACAUAUACCGCGAAUAAUCUGGCAGAUAUAUUGACCAAACCAGUUCCUUUGAUCGAGUUUAAGCAUUGCCUGGAUUUGAUUGGCAUUUUUGCCAUUUGAGUGCUUAGGUGGAGUUACUGGCAUUUCAUCCUUUAUUUUCUACACUGAGGCUUAGAGGUGUACAUCAUUGAUUCCGUUGUUUUGGGAUGGCCUUGUGUGGUCACUUUUGGUGUGAGGGAGAGAGUUCUUAUGAUGUUUGGCAUAAUACUCUUUUGGAGAUUUGAAGUAAAGAUGGAAAUUUAUUGAGUUUUGGCUUUCAAAUUAAGAGAGAAGGGUAUUUUAGGUCAUGCACGUUUAUUUUAGAAUUUUUUGAAAUGAGAUUGUAAAAGGACUAUGUUUAAUAACACAUCUCCAUCCCUAUCAUCUAUAUUAUUUCCUAUUUUGUGUUUUCUUAUCUUUUUGCUAGAUAUUUAGAUCCUAUGGCUUAUCAAAUGGUUUGAGAGCUUUUUGGAUUGUAUUCUGGUGCUUUUUAUUGACGAUAGUGAAACACUUCUUUCCUCAAUAUUUUUCUCAUUUUGAAUUUGUCACGUAAAUCUUACGUCUCGUGUGAUUUUAAUUUUUUUUAAUUUUUUUAUUACAUGUUCCUAGUUUGAUGCAUUUCUUAUUGACAUUUUUCCGCAACUAAAAUUUAUUUUUUAAUUCUUGUUUUCAGGCUUUUUCAUGGGGGUUGACAAAAGAUGGCCCACCGAAUGGAAAUAAAACCGGAAAUGCAAUGAGAUUUAGUUCUGACGCAUUAGAUCUCGUCUCGAGGCGGGCAAGAAAGAUCGCAUCGCGUCAAAAUCUGGAACAUUGACAAAUUCCCCAGCGGAAACGUCAUCACCUCCGUUUUAAGACAGCUCACGGAGAAGAAAAGAUCAUGCGACAUCGUACUUCUGCAGAAGCGGACGUGCUGGCAUUUGGCCGAAGGCGGUUCAGCUUCAGCCCCACAAAGCCGAAAGGGCAGACGUAGUUAAUGAGGCUUUGUUAAAAGCGGUUUGACGACAACUUAAUUACUAAAUGUCUUGAAUUCCAGAAGAAUGACUUUUUGAUCGGCAUAAGCAAGGUUGUUCUUGAUUCCUUGGUGGCCAUACAGAUUUGGUUCAUUCAUAUUGUAUCCACGGAACCAUGACUUUAACGACAUUCCUCAAACUAAUCCCUAUAUGAAUGAUGCAAUCAAUUAAGUUAUAUGCAGAAACAAUAUCUAAAAGUGCAAAUUUUUUUUUUCCCCUCUUUGAGAACAUCCACAUCCACGUUCUAUCCUAUAAUUGAUGGCAUGGAAUGCGUGGGAAAUGAAGUAAAGGAAAGAAUGGAAAAAAAUGAGGGAUGGAAUGAAUUACGCAUCGCAAUUCUUGUAUUCAUAUGAAAUAAGUAAAAGGGAAAUAAUAUGACAAUUCUUUUUUCUCGUGCUUGCAUAAUUCUAGAAUGAAAAUUGUCUAAAAUGUCCUCAAACUAGAUAGCGCAAGAAUAAGGGUAAAGGUUACACUCAAAAUCAUUGUAUGUAAUUAAUUUCUUGAUAUUUUGCAGAGGAAUGGAUUGGCCAUAUUGGGCACACCAUUAGUGGAGACAUGGACUGGACACUCUCCUUGUUUGAUAGAGGAAUGAGCAUCCCACAUUUUUGCGAGAACAAACAAAGGAAAUGAAGUUGCAUCUUGAAUUAACCAUUCCAUUUCAAAUCGAUUCCUUUCUACCAAAUAAGGUCAAAUUCUUACAUUUUUGAUCAAGGAUGAUUUGACCAAAACCAAAAUGAUAUCACCAUUUUCUAUUUGUGACUUGUACAAUUGUGUUGAGAGUAUGAGACUUCCGUUCUUGCGUAAGUUCCUACAGAUUUCAUGGACUAAAAUUGUAUCUAAUCUUCUUUUAUCCACAACUUAGAUCUCAUGGCAAUCCUUGCUUGUGUCCUUAAGCCGCAAAUACUAAGCAUGAUUAUAAGGGCAUAAUAUUCAAUUAUCAUCCACUACUAGGCUCACAAAACUUGAACUCAAAUCUUCACUGAAAAGAGAGGGAUAAGAUAUUCAAAAUAUCAUCUACCAUUUUCGACGGAAUAAGCAAGAUGAAUUGGUGAAGGUGGGAAGGGUGGGUGAAAUCCCUAUUGCAAGUCGACUUGUGCUAUGCAUAGUGUCAAUCAAUCGACUUAUCGACCUUGUGUCCCUAGUUGAUUGACACUAUAUAGGCGCCAUUUGCUAGCCAUCACAGUCUCACAAAGGUUGGCCACCAGUGGAGGGAAAUAUGCAAAAAGAAGAAAAAAAAAACCUAAAGAAAGAAGGAAAAAAGAAGGAGAAGAAAAGAAAAAAAUAAUAUAUAUAUUUAAAAAAGCAUAAACUUAGAAAAUGGUGGUGUGACACUAUUUCAACCUUUUUGUCAACACUGCAUGUUACUCUGAUUUAUAACUUUUUUUAGUUUGCCUUGUGCAAGAUGACCUGAACACCAUACUGUGGCUGGAGGGUGAUCUUAGUAAGAGGGGAAUGCGCAUAGGAUGCAGAGAGCUCGAAUGUGAAUUGCUGAAGUAUCAUGGCGAGCGCCAUCUUCGCCUCCAUCAUUGCGAAGUUCUGGCCGACACAUAUGCGUGGGCCCCAUCCAAAUGGGAAAAAGGAGACUUGGUUCUUGGUGGCCUUGGACACUCCCUCGGUGAACCUCUCUGGCUUGAACUCCUCGGCAUCCUCGCCCCACAGUUCUUUAUCAUGGUGGAUGAGGAGAGUCGGCAUCGAGACCUGGACUCCCGCGGGUAAGGUCAGCUUCCCCAGUUUUGUUUCCUUGGGAACCUUACGUGCCAGUACGACCACCGGUGGAUAGAGCCUCAGCACCUCAUUUAAGAUCAUCGUGACCUGAUCACAAAAAAUCCGUAGAAGUUGUCAUAUGGUACAAAAGUGGAGUUAGGAGCAUCUACAUGAUUAUGAUGCCCAAGAAAG
This 30048-nucleotide long non-coding RNA is filed under the name Eucalyptus grandis. RNAcentral's name for it is "long non-coding RNA (EGRA_LNC003629)". The record is from RNAcentral. Lineage: Eukaryota; Viridiplantae; Streptophyta; Magnoliopsida; Myrtales; Myrtaceae.